Non-coding RNA from Pelobates cultripes (western spadefoot toad), 232 nucleotides. NCBI's taxonomy places the organism in Eukaryota, Metazoa, Chordata, Amphibia, Anura, Pelobatidae. The record is from the annotation of a GenBank genome assembly.
GGUAUAGUCACACAGUAACAGAGGGAUUGAGGGCCCUGCUCAGUGAGUUUACAUGUUAGAGGGAGUGGGGUAUAGUGACACAGUAACAGAGGGAUUGAGGGCCUGCUCAGUGAGCUUACAUAUUAGAGGGAGUGGGGUAUAGUGACACAGUAACAGAGGCAUUGAGGGCCUGCUCAGUGAGUUUACAUGUUAGAGGGAGUGGGGUAUAGUGACUGUAACAGAGGGAUUGAGG